RNAcentral lists this ribosomal RNA (496 nucleotides) under uncultured bacterium. RNAcentral's name for it is "partial 16S ribosomal RNA". It matches the Rfam family "Bacterial small subunit ribosomal RNA", at positions 28 to 506 of the family's 1533-position model. The record is from RNAcentral.
GAUGAACGCUGGCGGCGUGCCUAAUACAUGCAAGUCGAGCGAACAGACGAGGAGCUUGCUCCUUUGACGUUAGCGGCGGACGGGUGAGUAACACGUAGGUAACCUUCCUAUAAGACUGGGAUAACUUCGGGAAACCGGAGCUAAUACCGGAUAAUAUUUCGAACCGCAUGGUUCGAUAGUGAAAGAUGGCUUUGCUAUCACUUAUAGAUGGACCUGCGCCGUAUUAGCUAGUUGGUAAGGUAACGGCUUACCAAGGCAACGAUACGUAGCCGACCUGAGAGGGUGAUCGGCCAAACUGGAACUGAGAAACGGUCCAGACUCCUACGGGAGGAAGCAGUGGGGAAUCUUCCGAAAUGGGCGAAAGCCUGACGGAGCAACGCCGCGUGAGUGAUGAAGGUCUUCGGAUCGUAAAACUCUGUUAUUAGGGAAGAACAAACGUGUAAGUAACUGUGAACGUCUUGACGGUACCUAAUAAGAAAGCCACGGCUAACUACGU